Molecule: long non-coding RNA, 260 nt
Organism: Mytilus trossulus (common blue mussel)
Lineage: Eukaryota; Metazoa; Mollusca; Bivalvia; Mytilida; Mytilidae
Exons: 3
Source: RefSeq, a predicted model, not a curated record
AUGCUGAGAAUGUGUGGAGCGGAGCAAAUGAUUUAGAUCAGGAUGGGAUCUAUGAAUUUGCUGUAGAAAAUGGUCCAUUUUCUUUAACUAAUCCCCCAUUUGGUCAAGUCAAUUAUGUUGAUCCAAAUUCGCCCUGUGCUGGGAGAAUAUAUGCCGUCGCCGGUGAUUACUGGUAUUGGGAAAUUGUACCCUGUUACGGUUCUGCUCAAAACUACAUUUGCGAGUACAAAUUGAGAGUUUGUCCGUAGAGAGGAUGCAGG